CCCUUAGAUGUUCUGGGCUGCACGCGCGCUACACUGAUACAAUCAAUGAGAUAUUUUUGCCGACGGGUGAAGAGAAAUCUUCUGAAUUUGUAUCGUGAUGGGAACAAACGCUUGAAAUUAUUCGUUUCGAACGAGGAAUUCCUAGUAAGCGUGAGUCAUCAGCUCAUGCUGAUUACGUCCCUGCCCUUUGUACACACCGCCCGUCGCUCCUACCGAUUGGAUGAUCCGGUGAGCAAGUCUGACACGGGUUUUCCAGUUGACGGGGAAACUGUGGAUGUCUCGCAAACCUUAUUAUUUAGAGGAAGGAGAAGUCGUAACA
RNAcentral lists this ribosomal RNA (319 nucleotides) under uncultured eukaryote. Its description in RNAcentral is "partial 18S ribosomal RNA". It matches the Rfam family "Eukaryotic small subunit ribosomal RNA", at positions 1470 to 1796 of the family's 1831-position model. The record is from RNAcentral.